This is a small nuclear RNA of Otolemur garnettii (small-eared galago), 107 nucleotides long. The record is from Ensembl. Lineage: Eukaryota; Metazoa; Chordata; Mammalia; Primates; Galagidae.
GUGCUUGCUUCAGCAGCACAUGUACUAAAAUUGGAACGAUACAUAGAAGAUUAGCAUGGCCCCUGCACAAGGAUGACACGCAAAUCUAGGAGGCGUUCCAUAUUAAA